UGGGGAAUAUUGCACAAUGGGCGCAAGCCUGAUGCAGCCAUGCCGCGUGUAUGAAGAAGGCCUUCGGGUUGUAAAGUACUUUCAGCGAGGAGGAAGGCGUUGUGGUUAAUAACCGCAGCGAUUGACGUUACUCGCAGAAGAAGCACCGGCUAACUCCGUGCCAGCAGCCGCGGUAAUACGGAGGGUGCACGCGUUAAUCGGAAUUACUGGGUGUAAAGCGCACGCAGGCGGUCUGUCAAGUCGGAUGUGAAAUCCCCGGGCUCAACCUGGGAACUGCAUCCGAAACUGGCAGGCUAGAGUCUUGUAGAGGGGGGUAGAAUUCCAGGUGUAGCGGUGAAAUGCGUAGAGAUCUGGAGGAAUACCGGUGGCGAAGGCGGCCCCCUGGACAAAGACUGACGCUCAGGUGCGAAAGCGUGGGGAGCAAACA
Molecule: ribosomal RNA, 427 nt
Filed under: uncultured bacterium
Lineage: Bacteria
Description: partial 16S ribosomal RNA
Rfam family: Bacterial small subunit ribosomal RNA
Source: RNAcentral